GGGGUUGUGGCUCAGUGGUAGAGUUCUGAUCUUGCAUGUGUGAGGCACUGAGUUUGAUCCUCAGCACCACA
This 71-nucleotide transfer RNA is filed under the name Marmota monax (woodchuck). RNAcentral's name for it is "tRNA.Ala". The record is from RNAcentral. Lineage: Eukaryota; Metazoa; Chordata; Mammalia; Rodentia; Sciuridae.